Molecule: long non-coding RNA, 1649 nt
Organism: Eriocheir sinensis (Chinese mitten crab)
Lineage: Eukaryota; Metazoa; Arthropoda; Malacostraca; Decapoda; Varunidae
Exons: 4
Source: RefSeq, a predicted model, not a curated record
CCGCCUCAGUGGCUGCCCUUUUCUGCCUUAUUACUUAAAAAUCAGCACACGUAGUUGUAGCACGGAAUUAGUAACUUGUUUGUGCCGCCGUGACACACAGACACAUCUCACCUGUCUCCACACUACUCACUUUCAAACCUCCCUCCCGGAAAACAGUCAAAUGGCGGUAAUAGAGGAAGGAAAAGAUGAAACUAAUGAAAAAUUUAAAGAGCCCUGAAUAAUGUCCCGUUAGGAAAGCCAGAGUCAUCCUCGGCAGGACACUGACUCGCUCCUCCACGUCUCCUCCGUCAGGGACAUAUUUCCUCCUUUUUCCUCUUUCCCACGCUGGGGCUGUUUUCUAAGAGUCCCUCCACGACCCCAAAGGCCAGUGACAGUGUGUGGGGGCAGUGAACGGUUUCGGACACAGCAAGCAAACGCUGACCUCAGUGCGCGGCUUUUCCUGCCCCAACGAGUCGAGUCAGCACACAGCCGCACCUGAGAGCACACUCCGCCCCGCACCUCCACACAACCAAGUUUCCUUGGAGGUGUCUUGACACUUGUUUCUUCCUACGACACAACUCGUCGUAGGUGCGCACUUAUCUUCGCCAGGCAACUCGGACCUUUGAGGGUGACUGGUGGGCGUAUAUUGUCUGCCCGAGCCAAACCCUCCCCGCUACCAGACGGGGGACAGCAGACCCUGCCACCCCUGCAGCCCUGCCCUUGUCACCGGUGAGGCGAAGGACGCGAGCGUGCUGAGUAGUGUGGUAUCGAGUUGCUGUCUUCGAGGUUUUUUAACACAGUAUAGCUGACACUCUUGCAACAUUAUUUCAGGUGCAUUACUAUUAUUAUGCUCACGUGUUUAGGCAUGUGGUGCCGUAUUUAAUCUAUUAGAUUUUUCAGCUGUUGAUUUUUCUGGCGUGUGGAUGUUUAUUAUUUUUCUUGAGUAACAUUGUUACGCAUUUUAUGUAUAAUCAUUCAUUUUAUUUUCUCCUUUCUUUUGUGUAUUUUAUUGCACAGUGGAGAAGUUUUGUCUUGCUAAGCCUCACUCAUUAUUCUUUUUCCCCUUUUUAUGCAUUUUAGAAGCAUCGGGGAGGAGUGAGCACAUGCUUAGCGGUGAAUGAUUAUUACUUUGAUUAUUUUUGCAGCAAUAUUUUUUUUUCUUUUACCAUUUUACUCCUCAUUUUACUAGUAACUCUUUUUAAUGGCAGAGAACCACCGAGAACUAUGAGGGGUGGGUAGAGAGAAAUGACAGUGCCAUCACGGAUAACGGUGACUGUCAUGUAAGGAGUGGUAGCAGUCUUCAAAGGGUGCUUGCUCCUCCUUCUACGCUGCAUGAGCAACCAAGAGACUGUGGUGAGAGAAGUCCAUCGUUAGCACCCUGUCAGCAUACUGUCAGCACAUUAUCAGCAGACUGUCACCACAUCAUCAGCACACUAUCAGCACACUGCCACCCCGUCAUCAGCACUGUCAGCACACCAUAACCACACUGUUAGCAAGUCAUCACCCCCCUAAAAGUCUGCCUGCCACCCCUGGUGCUGGUGCAGCAGCGAGGGUCUGAGGCGGGUGAUGUGCUCAGCGCUCGCUGCAUCCUCACUGCCGCUGACUUCUGUUGCAGUGGAGGCUGCAGGGCUGGGCAGCAGCCUGAGGAGCCAGGACCAGCAGGAGCAGCC